ACGAACGCUGGCGGCAUGCCUAACCCAUGCAAGUCGAACGAGAUCCUUCGGGGUCUAGUGGCGCACGGGUGCGUAACGCGUGGGAAUCUGCCCUUAGGUUCGGAAUAACAGUUAGAAAUGACUGCUAAUACCGGAUGAUGACGUUAAGUCCAAAGAUUUAUCGCCUGAGGAUGAGCCCGCGUAGGAUUAGCUAGUUGGUGUGGUAAAGGCGCACCAAGGCGACGAUCCUUAGCUGGUCUGAGAGGAUGAUCAGCCACACUGGGACUGAGACACGGCCCAGACUCCUACGGGAGGCAGCAGUGGGGAAUAUUGGACAAUGGGCGCAAGCCUGAUCCAGCAAUGCCGCGUGAGUGAUGAAGGCCUUAGGGUUGUAAAGCUCUUUUACCCGGGAUGAUAAUGACAGUACCGGGAGAAUAAGCCCCGGCUAACUCCGUG
RNAcentral lists this ribosomal RNA (435 nucleotides) under uncultured bacterium. Its description in RNAcentral is "partial 16S ribosomal RNA". It matches the Rfam family "Bacterial small subunit ribosomal RNA", at positions 29 to 507 of the family's 1533-position model. The record is from RNAcentral.